This 549-nucleotide ribosomal RNA is filed under the name Speonomus normandi hydrophilus. RNAcentral describes it as "partial large subunit ribosomal RNA". It matches the Rfam family "Eukaryotic large subunit ribosomal RNA", at positions 681 to 1159 of the family's 3401-position model. The record is from RNAcentral. Lineage: Eukaryota; Metazoa; Arthropoda; Insecta; Coleoptera; Leiodidae.
UGUGCGCGUGCGCCACUCGUGGUGCGCGCACACACAGAGGGAGGAUGGGCCGACCCACAGUUGGUCGGCUCCGCACUCCCAGGGCGUCUCGAGUUCAAUGCGAACUGAGGCGCACCUAGAGCGUACACGCUGGGACCCGAAAGAUGGUGAACUAUGCCUGGUCAGGACGAAGUCAGGGGAAACCCUGAUGGAGGUCCGUAGCGAUUCUGACGUGCAAAUCGAUCGUCGGAACUGGGUAUAGGGGCGAAAGACUAAUCGAACCAUCUAGUAGCUGGUUCCCUCCGAAGUUUCCCUCAGGAUAGCUGGCGCUCAAAUAUGGCGGACGGUCCCUAUACGGGACGCGCUAACUAAAGAGUUUCUUCCGGUAAAGCGAAUGAUUAGAGGCAUUGGGGUCGAAACGACCUCAACCUAUUCUCAAACUUUAAAUGGGUGAGAUCUCCGGCUUACUUGAUAAUAUAUAUAUGGCAUAAUUAUGAAAUGUAUGUGAAGCCGCGAGAAUUGAAUCAGAGUGCCAAGUGGGCCACUUUUGGUAAGCAGAACUGGCGCUGU